Molecule: long non-coding RNA, 1164 nt
Organism: Lactuca sativa (garden lettuce)
Lineage: Eukaryota; Viridiplantae; Streptophyta; Magnoliopsida; Asterales; Asteraceae
Source: RefSeq, a predicted model, not a curated record
UUUUCUUUUCUUUUUCUUAAACUUAUAAGACCCGAAGGAGUGCUCGAGGGAAGGGCAGUGAGACCCUUUCCUGCUCACCGGAACACCGCAUCGGGACUACGGGAACGGUGGUGCGGAGAGGAGGUGGGGAGAGGGGCUGUCGCAGUCUCUCUCUUCCUCUUAUUGGCCGGAUUUUUGUUUCUUUUCAAUCUAACCAUUAAAAACGGUAAUAGAUAAUAAAUUUUUUUACUUAACGUCUAGAUAUAGGAAAUUGAGUUUUUUUUUUUUUAUUUUUUUUACUUAACGUCUAGAUAAAUAAAUUCUGUUAAGUAAUUGUAAAUGAUGAUACCCUUUGUUGUUUGUACACAAAUGGUCAUUUUCGUUCUUUCUUUCUUUCUCUCUCUCUCUCUAUCUCUCUCUCUCUCUCACACACAUACACACACAUCCACCGUCAUCAUCAUUGGUGACUUAGAUAAUGUUUUCAUUCCUCAACCCAGAAUUAUAGAACAGUGAUGAAAAAUAUAUCCAACAAAAAAUCGAACACCUACAUCAAUAUUUUUUUGUUGUUUGGAAUCGGAGAACACAAGAGUAUCAUCACCGAAAAGAUUGAACACCGGAAUCAGCAACACCAUGUUGGGUUUCUAUUUGCUAUUUGCUGUCAGAUUUCUCCGUGGUGGUGAUGGAGGCUCGAUUAAACCCCCUAUUGUGUUCUGACUUGGCGUGUCCGGUAUCAGCAACACCCGAACGACCGAACCCCUCUUUUUUCUUGUAUCUCCUGGAUCGAACGAGUUCCUUAUUUUUUUUUUAUUUUUUUUUGUCUUUACGCUCUAUCUAAACUUUGUUUUCUAUGUUCUCUGCAAUAAUGAAAGAUGAAGGUCAAGUCGUGUGGCACAUCUGACUGUCCCUUGUUUACAAGGAACUCGUGGUUUAUGAGUGAGUUGAGUUGAGUUACCAAGAAGUGGAAGAAAGUAUAGCUAUUCACCAAGGGACUUGGGAAAUCAUGUGUAUGCAUUUGAUGAAGUUAGGGACAUGGGAGGGGGUGUAGAGACGAUGAACAACCACCAAAUUAGUCCAAAUUCUCAACAAUGAGAGAGAAAGAGAGAGAGUGUGUGUGUGUGUUUUAAAUUUCAAAUUAACAAAAUAUUAAAAUAAAAAUAAAAACAAAUGACAUUUUAGUCUUUUCAA